This 205-nucleotide ribosomal RNA is filed under the name uncultured bacterium. RNAcentral describes it as "partial 16S ribosomal RNA". It matches the Rfam family "Bacterial small subunit ribosomal RNA", at positions 135 to 334 of the family's 1533-position model. The record is from RNAcentral.
AGGGGGAGUAACAUCCGGAAACGGAUGCUAAAACCGCAUAGGUCUUCGAGCUGCAUGGCUUGAAGAGGAAAAGAGGCGCAAGCUUCUGCUGAUGGAUGGACCCGCGGUGCAUUAGCUAGUUGGUGAGGUAACGGCUCACCAAGGCCGUGAUGCAUAGCCGACCUGAGAGGGUGAUCGGCCACAUUGGGACUGAGACACGGCCCAA